ACUCCUCCACUCCCCGCUUUUCUUUACGAAUGGCGGCGCGAGCUGGGAUUUGGGAGCUUGCGGGUCCCUGGCCGAUCCGCUCUCCUUGAAUGCAUUAGCAGAGCCCUCGCGGCCUUGGUGUGAUAGUAAUCUACGCCUCGGCUUAGCGCAUAUACAGUGUGGCUACGCUUCCAACCGUCUCGCAAGGGACAACUAAUCAUCA
Molecule: unclassified non-coding RNA, 202 nt
Filed under: uncultured Russulales
Lineage: Eukaryota; Fungi; Basidiomycota; Agaricomycetes; Agaricales
Also listed under: 1 other name
Description: sequence contains ITS2
Source: RNAcentral